ACUCAGGAUGGUUUCUUCUAGUGCCAUCCAUUUGCCUACCAGGAUUGAUUCGGCUGAUCUGGCUGACUAGGUGGGUGUCCCCUUUCUCCCUCACGGCUAUGUGUGUUCCUCCCGAAACUGAACGCUUGGUCGAAGAGGAUGACCUUCCGGGAAUAGAGAAGGACGGGUCUUCUGUCAAGGUAUAAAAGUAGCUGCACUCCCCUGCUAAAACCUCCAAACAAGCUCUCAAGGAAGUCAUUUUCUAAGACAUCCAGGAGUUUGUAUUUUGUGGUAUAACAAUUAAUAUUGUCAACCUGACAAGAUCU
RNAcentral lists this small nuclear RNA (305 nucleotides) under Mesocricetus auratus (golden hamster). RNAcentral describes it as "7SK RNA". It matches the Rfam family "7SK RNA". From Rfam's summary of the family: 7SK was discovered as an abundant small nuclear RNA in the mid-70s but a possible function has only recently been suggested. Two independent studies have found that 7SK RNA binds the CDK9/cyclin T complex (known as elongation factor P-TEFb). The record is from Rfam by way of RNAcentral. Lineage: Eukaryota; Metazoa; Chordata; Mammalia; Rodentia; Cricetidae.